AUGGCCUCGCCGACGCCGCCAGACGCCGAGUGCCCGACACAGUCCUCGCUCCUGGCCCUUCCGGAUGUGAACCUGGAGGACAUAUUCCUCCGCCUGCCCACACCGGCGGCGCUCGCCCGCGCCUCCCUCGCCUGCGCCGCCUUCCGCCGCAUCAUCACCGAGCGCUCUUUCCUCCGCCGCUUCCGCAAACUCCACCCGCCUCCCCUCCUCGGCAUCAUCGACGACGAAGGUGUCUUCGCGCCCACCGAGGCGCCCCACCCUUCCGCCCCGCUCUCCCGGGCUCUUGUCCAAGGGGCUGGUUUCACCUACUCCUUCGUCCCAAAGCCACUCGGUGACAAUCACACAAUCUGGUCUCCCUGCGACGUCCGCGACGGUCGCGUCCUCCUCGAGCACCGCCGGUCUGGAGCUGACACUUUCUUCAUAGACCUGGCGGUGUGCGACCCCCUGUCGCGGAGGUACCUGCUGCUCCCACCCAUUCCUGAGGAUAUGACCAUCGAGCAAGAGCGCCUCUAUGAAUUGCGGCAUUUCCUCAUUCCCAUUCGCUAGAAUGAAGAUGAGACAUCGCUCAAGGUGAUCUGUCUGGCAUACUACAGAAGCAAGUUGGUCACAUUCAUCUUCUCUUCUGUCACCGGACUAUGGUGUAUAGCUGCGUCUACCAGCUGGAGUUCUUUGGGCGUAGUUGACCCCUUCAGGCGCGUAAGAUUGUCCCGUUUCAACUAUUUGCAUGGCUGCUUCUACUGGAAAAAUCUUUGGAGGGACAACCUGCUCGUGCUGGACACACGCAUAAUGGAGUUUUCCACUGUCAACAUCCUCACCGGCUAUCAUUUGCAGCUUAUAAAUAAGCCUGGCGAGAACGUAUGUAGCCCUACCAUUGUUGAUGGUACAGCAGGAGCCCUUGAGAUGCUCACUCCCGUCCGUGAUAACGUUCAUGCCUUGUUUUAUCUCUGUCAUACCACUCAACAAAACAGCGGCGAAUCUUCCAACGAGUGGCAGCUGAAAAAUGUUAUAGCCUUGCCUCGCCGAUAUCUCUAUUCCAUUGUGGGCGCAACCGAGGGAUUCUUAUUCCUUCAAGGUGAUGAAGUAGCUCAGGAUAACGCAUAUCGGAAGUCGCCCAAGGAUACUGUUGUUUUUCUCUCUCUGGAUGCCAAGACUUCAGAACUUAAGAAGGUCUCUAGGUUAGCAAACUUUGAUCGUCCCAAUCGAAUUCACUCCUACUUUGGCUUCCCACCAUCGUUGUUGAAACCAAGUCUAUGA
This 1254-nucleotide ribosomal RNA is filed under the name Triticum aestivum (bread wheat). Its description in RNAcentral is "partial small subunit ribosomal RNA". The record is from RNAcentral. Lineage: Eukaryota; Viridiplantae; Streptophyta; Magnoliopsida; Poales; Poaceae.